RNAcentral lists this ribosomal RNA (461 nucleotides) under uncultured bacterium. RNAcentral describes it as "partial 16S ribosomal RNA". It matches the Rfam family "Bacterial small subunit ribosomal RNA", at positions 355 to 828 of the family's 1533-position model. The record is from RNAcentral.
UGGGGAAUAUUGCACAAUGGGCGAAAGCCUGAUGCAGCGACGCCGCGUGCGGGAUGAAGGCCUUCGGGUUGUAAACCGCUUUUGAUUGGGAGCAAGCGAGAGUGAGUGUACCUUUCGAAUAAGCACCGGCUAACUACGUGCCAGCAGCCGCGGUAACACGUAGGGUGCAAGCGUUAUCCGGAAUUAUUGGGCGUAAAGAGCUCGUAGGCGGUUUGUCGCGUCUGGUGUGAAAGUCCAUCGCUUAACGGUGGAUCUGCGCCGGGUACGGGCAGGCUAGAGUGCGACAGGGGAGACUGGAAUUCCCGGUGUAACGGUGGAAUGUGUAGAUAUCGGGAAGAACACCAAUGGCGAAGGCAGGUCUCUGGGUCGUCACUGACGCUGAGGAGCGAAAGCGUGGGGAGCGAACAGGAUUAGAUACCCUGGUAGUCCACGCCGUAAACGGUGGAUGCUGGAUGUGGGGC